GUAUGUAUGUAUGUGUAUGUGUAUAUAUAUAGAUAUGUGUGUAUACACACACACACACACACACACACACACACACACA
RNAcentral lists this microRNA precursor (79 nucleotides) under Mustela putorius furo (domestic ferret). Its description in RNAcentral is "miRNA (ENSMPUG00000022897.1)". Lineage: Eukaryota; Metazoa; Chordata; Mammalia; Carnivora; Mustelidae. The record is from RNAcentral.